This 493-nucleotide long non-coding RNA is filed under the name Brassica napus (rape). RNAcentral describes it as "long non-coding RNA (BNAP_LNC002655)". Lineage: Eukaryota; Viridiplantae; Streptophyta; Magnoliopsida; Brassicales; Brassicaceae. The record is from RNAcentral.
GUUAAAUAUUUAAAUCUAGCAGAUUUUGUUCUAAAAUACAAAAAUGUGAUUUUUAACCGUAUUAUCCAAAAAACAGGUACCGAACCAGCACCAAACUAAACUCGAAACUUUAUCGAGUUUUUAAUAUAUUUAUCCCAAUCAAACUGAGAGCUAAACUAAUAAAUCCGAAACCAAACCUAAAUUCACAAAUAAUUGAACAGUCCCUAUAUUUUUAAUUCGAAAAAAAAACAAAAUCACAACCGAAACUGAAAACACAAAAAGUAACAAAUUACAGUCAAACUGAAAAUUGAACGCACAUGCCUAAACAUAUUAGUGAACAAAUAUAUGGAUUAAUAAAAUUUUCAACGAAAAAUAUCUCGCACUUUCAAAGCGUGUGUUAAAAUUUAGUAUACUUUAAUCUAAAUAACAUCUUUCUCCAAUCUGUAAUGACCGGUUUUCCUUAACCAAUUUUGAUUUAGUUAAUAUAAUAUAUAAAAUCAGUACCAAACCCCUA